This is a long non-coding RNA of Amphimedon queenslandica, 733 nucleotides long. RefSeq lists it as uncharacterized. The transcript is spliced from 2 exons. NCBI's taxonomy places the organism in Eukaryota, Metazoa, Porifera, Demospongiae, Haplosclerida, Niphatidae. The record is from RefSeq and is a predicted model, not a curated record.
UGUACAUGUACAGUAGAAGACAAUAAAAACUUCGCGUUCCGUUUACGUUGAACGGCGAUUAAACGGUAGCGCCGUUUCCGUUUUUAUUGUGGUUGUUCCGUUCAUGGUCCGUUGGGUCUGGGCACUGCCGUUUUUAUUUCCAUGAACAACGCUCCAAGCGUUGCUCGACUUUUCUCUUUUCUGACAGUUUCUUCAGGAGUCAGGCUUCCUUAGAUACACUUACAAAACGACUAUGAGCCAUGGUUGAUGAUAAAACCAGACAGGACGACAAGAAGUAGUCACAAGAAAGAGUGCUCUGUCAAGCAAAGAAGCAGCUAUUAUAUUAUUAUCAUUUAUAAAAUAAAAUCAUGUAAUUAUAGACCUGCUAGUACCAAGAUCAAAAUGCAUGACGCUUGAAUCUUUCAUAAAAUAAAAAAUAUAUAAUAUAUAAUACAAGUUUUUGAAACUAAGAGUAGAAUAAUGAUAGAAAUAUAGUAAUGAUACUGAUAACUAAUGCUUAUCACAAUACAUUGAGACUACACCGAGCCUGGUGGCCCGUCUUCCAACGAGACGAGUACUUCACACCUCGACUCACACAGCGUCUCUUUGAGUUGAGGUCCACACUGAACUGAUAUGACAGUAGUAUCUCCAGAGCGGCAGUCGAGAACGAGCAUGUAGUAUCUGUGGAGUAGAGAAAACCAAGGAGGCAAGGACAAAACGUUGAGCCAACGUAAAAACGUGCUCCAUGGAAAAA